This 77-nucleotide transfer RNA is filed under the name Flavobacteriaceae bacterium. Its description in RNAcentral is "tRNA-Met". It matches the Rfam family "tRNA". Rfam says of the family: Transfer RNA (tRNA) molecules are approximately 80 nucleotides in length. The record is from RNAcentral. Lineage: Bacteria; Pseudomonadati; Bacteroidota; Flavobacteriia; Flavobacteriales; Flavobacteriaceae. RNAcentral also lists the same sequence under 1 other name.
GGCGAGGUAGCUCAGGUGGUCAGAGCGUCGGAUUCAUAACCCGGAGGUCGGGAGUUCAAGUCUCCCCCUCGCUACUA